RNAcentral lists this long non-coding RNA (1246 nucleotides) under Homo sapiens (human). RNAcentral's name for it is "HSALNT0077762". The record is from RNAcentral. Lineage: Eukaryota; Metazoa; Chordata; Mammalia; Primates; Hominidae.
UGUGCAAGGACCCUGAAAUCGGUGUGCAAGGAGAAAAAAGCUGUCUGCAGCUUGGAAGAGAUCUUUAUCUUGGGGAUGCUUACAGGUGAAAUCAAUGGGUUUAGUCAUCUCUUUGAAUGCAGUGGAGGUGAUACUAUGGUCAUAAUGACCAGGGGCUGGGUCAGAAGAACUUCAGAUUGAGCCUCUUGAAACAUUUGCUCUUGGAAUUCUCCCUCUCAGGAAACUAACAGCCUGCUAUGAAGCCCAAGCCACAAAGAGAGGCCAAGGGGAAAUAAACAGAGUGUGAUUAUAUGCAAAACCUACAAGAAUGAGGACCUCCAAACUCAGUGUACAGAGUGAUUUUCUGCUGAAACAAUUGGAAAAUAAAAGAGACAUCAGUGUGUGAAUGACGACUUUCUGUUGCUGACUUGGAAGACAGAGGAAUUGGGUCAUGAGCCGAGGAAGGUGGGCAGCUUCUAAAAGGCGGAAAAGUGGCUGAAGUGAGAGGAAGCGAGGAUAUGGCUGACAUUCUCCAAGAAGCAGUGACUUCAGAAGAUGACUGGCAUCUUGAACUUCAGGAAAAUGCUUGGCCUUUUUAACUCUGAAAGUCUGUUUGAAACUCAGAAGAAGAAAAUUAGGUGAAUACAAAACUGCUGCCAAACUUAGAAACUUGGUUAAAUAUCCUGCAGAAAAUAUCAUGGGCUUUUCAGAGUCCAGUUAAAUAUCUACAGAUUAUAUUUCCAGUUUCAUACCUGGGGCAUUAACUCUAUUCAUUUUACUAGCUUUAGUGAAUUUUACUUCUGGAGCAUAACAUUGCAUUGAAAAUGUGUCCUCUAACCUAUGAUAUUUAUGUAUCGUUUAAUAUGAAAUUUAUGAGGUUCCAUUUCUGAUUUCCAAAUGGAUGCAAAUUAGAACACAGGAUAUUUACAUUCUUUCAUUUCUAACCCACAUACAUAAAGUUUGACUUUAAAAUGCCACUGUUCGUGUCUGUUUCAUAGAAGCUCUAGGUAUUUAUACGUCCAUUGUGUCUCUGGCACACUCUGAAUUCCAGUUUUUAAUCUAAUAUUGGGCAGGAAUUGGCUAUAAAAAUACAAUGCCAUUGAGGACAGAGCUGGAUUGCUUUUUUUCUGUUAAUUCUUGAGAACUUUAUAGUUUCUCAGGGAAGUAUAAUUUGUAACCACAUCAUCAUCUAACACUUUUCCUGUCUUUUUUGGAGAUUGACAGUUGAAAAUCUAUAAGAUCUUUUUGCAACUAAGAUCAGGAAAAA